GUUCCCGGCCCGCGGACGCUUAGAGAGGGGAGCUUCGGAGUUAUGGGGGGACCCACCCUUCCAUUUAAUAACUGAGAAAGCCACGGGAGGGGACUUGCUGGGCUCACAGCCAGUGAUCCCUGCCCUGUUUCCUUAUGGGGACUGCGGUCAGAAAUGGGGAGUGGGGCAGAAACUGUCACUGUCACGGUCCUGUUUAGAGAGGAAGGUCGGAGAAACCAGUGCCGUGGAAGGCUCUGGGGCGUUGACAGGCGCUGUCCCCAGCUCACCGGCUCUAUGACCCUGGAAGAAUGGAAACUUCGUCAGAGCAGGGACGUGAGGGUGAACUGCUCACCCGGGCACCGCUGGCGACCGGAACCCAGCUCCCUCCGGGCUCCGGGAGAGGCGGCCUCAGCUGUGUGCUGGUGCUGCCCUCCAGCGGCGCUGGGUCCCCAUGGCACCUGGCUUUCUCCUGCUCCCCAGGGGCCUUUUCUUCUCCCGCCCACCUGUCACCAGCCGCCAGGGCAAGUCUCUGUGUGACUCUAGGGUGAAGGUGGAGGGACCUUGCCUCCGAGGAUUCAUCCCACCCGGAUUCCGAUGAGUGAGGGACCCUCUCUGGCACCUGGUGUUUGAAUGGCCAGCCUCACAGUUAAUAAAGACAAGUUUGGUAUCAAAAAAAAAAAAAAAAA
RNAcentral lists this long non-coding RNA (665 nucleotides) under Homo sapiens (human). RNAcentral's name for it is "long independently transcribed non-coding RNA 2716 (LINC02716)". The record is from RNAcentral. Lineage: Eukaryota; Metazoa; Chordata; Mammalia; Primates; Hominidae.